Mycena maculata is the source of this 85-nucleotide non-coding RNA. The record is from the annotation of a GenBank genome assembly. Lineage: Eukaryota; Fungi; Basidiomycota; Agaricomycetes; Agaricales; Mycenaceae.
GGGCAUGUGGUGUAGUGGUAUCACGCACGCUUUGCAAGUUUCCUUGGUUUGCGUCUGGUCCUGGGUUCAAUCCCCAGCAUGUCCA